GCACUGCUGAGGAGUCUCCUCAUAGGACGAAACGGCUGUCCAGUGC
This 46-nucleotide non-coding RNA is filed under the name Schistosoma mansoni. The record is from RNAcentral. Lineage: Eukaryota; Metazoa; Platyhelminthes; Trematoda; Strigeidida; Schistosomatidae.